CCUACGGGUGGCAGCAGUGGGGAAUAUUGGACAAUGGGCGAAAGCCUGAUCCAGCCAUGCCGCGUGUGUGAAGAAGGCCUUCGGGUUGUAAAGCACUUUCAGUGGGGAAGAAAGCCUUGGGGCUAAUACCCUCGAGGAAGGACAUCACCCACAGAAGAAGCACCGGCUAACUCCGUGCCAGCAGCCGCGGUAAUACGGAGGGUGCGAGCGUUAAUCGGAAUUACUGGGCGUAAAGCGCGCGUAGGCGGUCUGAUAAGCCGGUUGUGAAAGCCCCGGGCUCAACCUGGGGACGGCAUCCGGAACUGUCAGGCUAGAGUGCAGGAGAGGAAGGUAGAAUUCCCGGUGUAGCGGUGAAAUGCGUAGAGAUCGGGAGGAAUACCAGUGGCGAAGGCGGCCUUCUGGACUGACACUGACGCUGAGGUGCGAAAGCGUGGGUAGCAAACAGGAUUAGAUACCCGAGUAGUC
This 465-nucleotide ribosomal RNA is filed under the name Vreelandella stevensii. RNAcentral describes it as "partial 16S ribosomal RNA". It matches the Rfam family "Bacterial small subunit ribosomal RNA", at positions 338 to 795 of the family's 1533-position model. The record is from RNAcentral. Lineage: Bacteria; Pseudomonadati; Pseudomonadota; Gammaproteobacteria; Oceanospirillales; Halomonadaceae.